CCCCUAGAUGUUCUGGGCCGCACGCGCGCUACACUGAACAGUUCAACAAGUCUUAACCUCGGCCGAUAGGUCUGGGUAAUCUUUGAACGCUGUUCGUGAUUGGGAUAGACCUUUGCAAUUAUGGGUCUUCAACGAGGAAUUCCUAGUAAACGCAAGUCAUCAGCUUGCAUUGAUUACGUCCCUGCCCUUUGUACACACCGCCCGUCGCACCUACCGAUUGAAUGGUCCGGUGAAAUCUCGGGACGGCGGCUCGGUCGCUUGCGUCCGACUGCUGAAACUUGAUUAAACCAUAUCAUUUAGAGGAAGGUGAAGUCGUAACA
Molecule: ribosomal RNA, 320 nt
Filed under: uncultured eukaryote
Lineage: Eukaryota
Description: partial 18S ribosomal RNA
Rfam family: Eukaryotic small subunit ribosomal RNA
Source: RNAcentral